CUUGGCCAUCAAGAGACCGUUCAACCUUCUUCUUGACUGGACAAUUUGGAUGUGUACACUUGUAAUAACUACGAGGAUAUUCACUUCCCUUGACAUGCUUCUGCCCAUACUUGCGCCAGUUGUAGCCAUCAUCAGCAGGUUUAUCAACAGCAGAGGAAGCAGGUUCUGACCUCUGAUCAGACAGAGAGACAUCAGAUGCUUCUUUACGCCAGUUGUAACCAUCAUCAGCAGGUUUAUCAACAGCAGAGGAAGCAGGUUCUGACCUCUGAUCAGACACAGAGACUUCAGAUGCUUCUUUCAUAAUAUUAGGAUCUGAUGCAGGAGGCAGUAUCUGUUGGUUUGCCGUGGCAUUUGAGAUUAGGGACUGGAA
This 370-nucleotide long non-coding RNA is filed under the name Nicotiana benthamiana. RNAcentral's name for it is "long non-coding RNA (NBEN_LNC040567)". The record is from RNAcentral. Lineage: Eukaryota; Viridiplantae; Streptophyta; Magnoliopsida; Solanales; Solanaceae.